RNAcentral lists this ribosomal RNA (164 nucleotides) under uncultured bacterium. RNAcentral's name for it is "partial 16S rRNA". It matches the Rfam family "Bacterial small subunit ribosomal RNA", at positions 355 to 511 of the family's 1533-position model. The record is from RNAcentral.
UAGGGAAUCUUCCACAAUGGACGCAAGUCUGAUGGAGCAACGCCGCGUGAGUGAAGAAGGGUUUCGGCUCGUAAAGCUCUGUUAUUAAAGAAGAACGUGGGUAAGAGUAACUGUUUACCCAGUGACGGUAUUUAACCAGAAAGCCACGGCUAACUACGUGCCAA